This 371-nucleotide long non-coding RNA is filed under the name Brassica napus (rape). RNAcentral describes it as "long non-coding RNA (BNAP_LNC005720)". Lineage: Eukaryota; Viridiplantae; Streptophyta; Magnoliopsida; Brassicales; Brassicaceae. The record is from RNAcentral.
GGGCAGAAGGGGAAAAGCGUAAACCGACCUAGGAACAAGUAUAUAAGGAGUCUUAGGCGAGAGGUAUGAGAGGAACUUUUUCACAGCAAAUUUAGUACUUAGAGCAAUUAGGCAACUUUCCGUUUUUGUUAUUUCGAGCUGCGACUCAAUUUGGUUUAGCCGUCUUAGGGUUGCUAGAACUAGGAAUCUCGCCAACAGCUCUCGAGCCCAGGCUUAUACCUUGUUAUAAACGCUCAUACGCAAAUUCGGAAUAAGACUUAUUUUUGCUCUCUUUUUACGAUUUCUUAUAUUUUGUCGUUGUUGUCUCGUGUUUUGAUUGCUUGGCGUGUGAUAUUAGCAGAUAUCCGGGACCUCUGGGAAACUAGGGUUCU